GGGAUAGAAUUCCAGGAGUAGCGGUGAAAUGCGUAGAUAUCUGGAGGAAUACCAAAGGCGAAGGCAGUCCCCUGGUCCGAUACUGACACUGAGGUACGAAAGCGUGGGGAGCAAACAGGAUUAGAUACCCUGGUAGUCCACGCCCUAAACGAUGUCGAUUAGCCAUUGGAAGGACCCCUUUUCCUUUCAGUGACGUAGCUAACGCGUUAAAUCGACCGCCUGGGAAGUACGACCGCAAGGUUAAAACUCAAAGGAAUUGACGGGGACCUGAACAAGCGGUGAAUGAUGUGGAUUAAUUCGAUGCUACGCGAAGAACCUUACCUACCUUUGACAUGGCCAAAGUUCUACCGAGAGGCGGAAGUACUCGUAAGAGGAUUGGCGCACAGGUGCUGCAUGGUUGUCGUCAGUUCGUGUCGUGAGAUGUUGGGUUCAGUCCCGCAACGAACGCAACCCUUAUCUUUAAUUGCUCCUAUUUUAACAGGCACUUUAAAGAAACUGCCAAUGAUAAGUUGGAGGAAGGUGGGGAUCACGUCAAGUCCGCAUGGCCUUUAUAGGUAGGGCUUCACACGUCAUACAAUGGUUAGAACAAAGAGCUGCAAAUUCGCAAGAAGGAGCCAAUCUCACAAACCUAACCUCAGUUCGAAUUGCGGUCUGCAACUCGAGCGCAUGAAGCCGGAAUCGCUAGUAAUCGUGGAUCAGAAUGCCACGGUGAAUACGUUCUUAGGUCUU
This 729-nucleotide ribosomal RNA is filed under the name Candidatus Tremblayella phenacoccinincola. RNAcentral describes it as "bacterial SSU rRNA". It matches the Rfam family "Bacterial small subunit ribosomal RNA", at positions 658 to 1382 of the family's 1533-position model. Lineage: Bacteria; Pseudomonadati; Pseudomonadota; Betaproteobacteria. The record is from RNAcentral.